UGGGGAAUCUUGGACAAUGGGCGCAAGCCUGAUCCAGCCAUGCCGCGUGCAGGAUGAAGGCCUUCGGGUUGUAAACUGCUUUUUGUACGGAACGAAAAGACUCCUUCUAAUAAAGGGGGUCCAUGACGGUACCGUAAGAAUAAGCACCGGCUAACUACGUGCCAGCAGCCGCGGUAAUACGUAGGGACCAAGCGUUGUUCGGAUUUACUGGGCGUAAAGGGCGCGUAGGCGGCAAUUCAAGUCAUCUGUGAAAUCUCCGGGCUUAACUCGGAACGGUCAGAUGAUACUGCUUUGCUAGAGUGCAGAAGGGGCAAUCGGAAUUCUUGGUGUAGCGGUGAAAUGCGUAGAUAUCAAGAGGAACACCUGAGGUGAAGACGGGUUGCUGGGCUGACACUGACGCUGAGGCGCGAAAGCCAGGGGAGCAAACAGGAUUAGAUACCCCAGUAGUCCCUGAGCGGGCUGGCAAGGCGCAU
This 473-nucleotide ribosomal RNA is filed under the name uncultured bacterium. Its description in RNAcentral is "bacterial SSU rRNA". It matches the Rfam family "Bacterial small subunit ribosomal RNA", at positions 355 to 825 of the family's 1533-position model. The record is from RNAcentral.